UGGGGAAUAUUGCACAAUGGGCGCAAGCCUGAUGCAGCGACGCCGCGUGAGGGAUGGAGGCCUUCGGGUUGUAAACCUCUUUCGCCAGUGAAGCAGGCCAUCUUCUUUGUGGGGUGGUUGACGGUAGCUGGAUAAGAAGCGCCGGCUAACUACGUGCCAGCAGCCGCGGUAAUACGUAGGGCGCGAGCGUUGUCCGGAAUUAUUGGGCGUAAAGAGCUCGUAGGCGGCUGGUCGCGUCUGUCGUGAAAUCCCCUGGCUUAACUGGGGGCUUGCGGGGGGUACGGGCCGGCUUGAGUGCGGUAGGGGAGACUGGAAUUCCUGGUGUAGCGGUGGAAUGCGCAGAUAUCAGGAGGAACACCGGUGGCGAAGGCGGGUCUCUGGGCCGUUACUGACGCUGAGGAGCGAAAGCGUGGGGAGCGAACAGG
RNAcentral lists this ribosomal RNA (425 nucleotides) under bacterium. Its description in RNAcentral is "partial 16S ribosomal RNA". It matches the Rfam family "Bacterial small subunit ribosomal RNA", at positions 355 to 776 of the family's 1533-position model. The record is from RNAcentral.